AUGUUCCUGCAGGAGUGCGGGCUAGGUGGUUGUGAUAUUGCCAAGCUGUGCGUCUCUGCGCCGAGGAUGCUCGGCAACAAACUGGAAAGCGUCCAGGCAAUGGUGGCGCACGCCGAAGGUCUGGGUGUGCCCCGUGGCUCGGGGAUGUUCAAGAUUGCGCUACAGGCUGUCGCAUUCCUCAGCGAGGAGAAGAUCGCCGCCAAAGUGGACUACCUGAAGAAGACGUUCAGUUGGUCGGAUGCUGAGGUGGUCGUUGCUUUGUCUAUGGCUCCAAUGCUGCUGAAGAGGUCAAAGGACAUCCUGCAGCGCAGGUUCGAGUUCCUUGUCUCUGAGGUGGGCUUGGAAUCGGGGUACAUUGCUCAUCGGCCGGUAAUCCUCUAUUAUAGCCUGGAGGGCCGGAUCAAGCCCCGGUGCCAUGUUCUAAAGUUCCUCAAGGAAAACAGAUUGCUCGAUCGCGACUGGAGCUUCUAUACUGCAGUCAAUAGGUCUGAGAAGUAUUUCAUGAAGAAGUGCAUAUGCCCUUACAAGGAAGCUGCACCACACCUUGCUGAAGACUAUGCAGCUGCUUGCAGAGGGGAAAUGCCAAGUUAA
This 591-nucleotide ribosomal RNA is filed under the name Triticum aestivum (bread wheat). RNAcentral describes it as "partial small subunit ribosomal RNA". The record is from RNAcentral. Lineage: Eukaryota; Viridiplantae; Streptophyta; Magnoliopsida; Poales; Poaceae.